CAGUAGCCACGGGAAUACGAAGGGGGCUAGCGUUGUUCGGAAUCACUGGGCGUAAAGCGCACGUAGGCGGACUUUUAAGUCAGGGGUGAAAUCCCAAGGCUCAACCUUGGAACUGCCUUUGAUACUGGAAGUCUUGAGUUCGGGAGAGGUGAGUGGAACUGCGAGUGUAGAGGUGAAAUUCGUAGAUAUUCGCAAGAACACCAGUGGCGAAGGCGGCUCACUGGCCCGAUACUGACGCUGAGGUGCGAAAGCGUGGGGAGCAAACAGGAUUAGAGACCCCUGUAGUCCCUGUCUCUUAUAC
This 301-nucleotide ribosomal RNA is filed under the name uncultured bacterium. RNAcentral's name for it is "partial 16S ribosomal RNA". It matches the Rfam family "Bacterial small subunit ribosomal RNA", at positions 509 to 807 of the family's 1533-position model. The record is from RNAcentral.